GAGAUGGAGCAAGCUCAGCGAUCGAGGUGUGGGCCGCGCAGCGCGGAAUGGAAGCGCGGGGAGUGCUCGGCGGAGGCCCGGGGUGCAGCGGGAUCGCCGGCUGAGGCCCGGGGAGGUUUAUUCACCCCGAGUCCAGGGUUUCAAGAGAGUAUGAGGUCUGUUGUCUGCCUCUGCCCAGUUACUUGGAGCAUUCCACCUAGCAGGGACCCAUUGUUACCUAUUGAAGGAAGACAUUGGCCACCUGCCAGAGGCCUUCUCAGCAGGAAGGAGCUGGAGACCUCUAUCUGGCCACGUAGGGUAACCAAAUGGCAAACUGGAGGAUUCAAAAAAGGAGGAAAUAUCUGCGGUUGGCACACAGACAGGAAAAAGCACACUUUGCUAAACCUGCUGUGACUUGGGGUGGCAUUUCAGGAGGGCAGCUUACAAUGU
Molecule: long non-coding RNA, 429 nt
Filed under: Mus pahari (shrew mouse)
Lineage: Eukaryota; Metazoa; Chordata; Mammalia; Rodentia; Muridae
Description: lncRNA (MGP_PahariEiJ_G0002347.1)
Source: RNAcentral